UGACCUCAAAUCAGGUAGGGAUACCCGCUGAACUUAAGCAUAUCAAAUAAGCGGAAGGAA
RNAcentral lists this ribosomal RNA (60 nucleotides) under uncultured Pachyphloeus. RNAcentral describes it as "partial 28S ribosomal RNA". The record is from RNAcentral. Lineage: Eukaryota; Fungi; Ascomycota; Pezizomycetes; Pezizales; Pezizaceae.